RNAcentral lists this transfer RNA (58 nucleotides) under Salmo salar (Atlantic salmon). It matches the Rfam family "tRNA", at positions 8 to 63 of the family's 71-position model. Rfam says of the family: Transfer RNA (tRNA) molecules are approximately 80 nucleotides in length. The record is from Rfam by way of RNAcentral. RNAcentral also lists the same sequence under 1 other name. Lineage: Eukaryota; Metazoa; Chordata; Actinopteri; Salmoniformes; Salmonidae.
UAGCUCAGUUGAUAGAGCAUGGUGUUUGCAACGCCAGGGUUGUGGGUUCCAUUCCCAC